GAUGAAGAACGUAGCGAAAUGCGAUACUUGGUGUGAAUUGCAGAAUCCCGUGAACCAUCGAGUCUUUGAACGCAAGUUGCGCCCGAAGCCAUUAGGCCGAGGGCACGCCUGCCUGGGCGUCACACGUCGUUGCCCCCCCAUCUACUCCUUCGGGAUUGCGAGGGGCGGAUGAUGGCCUCCCGUGCGCCUCGUCGCGCGGUUGGCAUAAAUGCCAAGUCCUCGGCGACGCACGCCACGACAAUCGGUGGUCGCGAAACCUCGGUUGCCCGUCGUGUGCGGUCGUCGCGCAUCGAGGGCUCGAAAAAAUUGCCGGGCUCCGGCUCGGCUUUCAACGCGACCCCAGGUCAGGCGGGGUUACCCGCUGAAUUUAAGCAUAUCAAUAAGCGGAGGA
Molecule: unclassified non-coding RNA, 391 nt
Filed under: soil metagenome
Description: partial contains 5.8S ribosomal RNA, internal transcribed spacer 2, and large subunit ribosomal RNA
Rfam family: 5.8S ribosomal RNA (bases 1-122)
Source: RNAcentral